Non-coding RNA from Mycena filopes, 93 nucleotides. The record is from the annotation of a GenBank genome assembly. Lineage: Eukaryota; Fungi; Basidiomycota; Agaricomycetes; Agaricales; Mycenaceae.
GACCCUGUAGCAUAUGGCAUGCAUCCGAUUCUGCUAGUCGCGGCCAAGAAAAAAUUCAAACGGAAGGACUCGGUUCGAUUCCGAGUGGGGUCG